Molecule: long non-coding RNA, 446 nt
Organism: Cataglyphis hispanica
Lineage: Eukaryota; Metazoa; Arthropoda; Insecta; Hymenoptera; Formicidae
Exons: 3
Source: RefSeq, a predicted model, not a curated record
UAGAGAUGGUCUCGUUGGAUCCGGGCGUAACGAUGGGUCCGACAUGGAUCGCCGGUGGCGUCGCCAGCGAUAUUCCACUUUCGCCGCUCCUGCUCAUGUUGAUUCUGAGCGACUAACUCCUUGGGUAGACUAUUUAGUUACCUAUGAGGGAUUCAACAAAAAUUGACAGAUAUGGUUUACGAGACACCCUAUAUAUCCCACAAUUUUCAGAAGGGUUAACGCAAACCGCGAUCGAUGGAAGGUCAUCUAUUCACGCGUAUCAGAAAGACACACAUCCCCUUCGAGAAAGAAAAAAAGAAAAAUAGGAAUAAAAAGACGGCGAUAUCGAAGCGUUGCGGAAACGCGAUAAGAGAGAAUUUUAUCAAUACCCGAGCUCUUCACAUUUCCAUUUAGGAGGCACAAUCUGACGGAACCGACGAGGGUACAUCGAAGUAUCUCGGCGAUGU